AGUAACGCAGCGAAAGCUGCGCUAAUACCGCAUACGAUCUACGGAUGAAAGCAGGGGAUCGCAAGACCUUGCGCGAAUGGAGCGGCCGAUGGCAGAUUAGGUAGUUGGUGAGGUAAAGGCUCACCAAGCCUUCGAUCUGUAGCUGGUCUGAGAGGACGACCAGCCACACUGGGACUGAGACACGGCCCAGACUCCUACGGGAGGCAGCAGGG
RNAcentral lists this ribosomal RNA (212 nucleotides) under uncultured Variovorax sp. RNAcentral's name for it is "partial 16S ribosomal RNA". It matches the Rfam family "Bacterial small subunit ribosomal RNA", at positions 142 to 354 of the family's 1533-position model. Lineage: Bacteria; Pseudomonadati; Pseudomonadota; Betaproteobacteria; Burkholderiales; Comamonadaceae. The record is from RNAcentral.